RNAcentral lists this ribosomal RNA (253 nucleotides) under uncultured bacterium. RNAcentral's name for it is "partial 16S ribosomal RNA". It matches the Rfam family "Bacterial small subunit ribosomal RNA", at positions 524 to 776 of the family's 1533-position model. The record is from RNAcentral.
UACAGAGGUCUCAAGCGUUGUUCGGACUCAUUGGGCGUAAAGGGUGCGUAGGCGGCGCGGUAAGUCGGGUGUGAAAUCUCGGAGCUUAACUCCGAAACUGCAUUGGAUACUAUUCGGCUUGAGGUCUGGAGGGGGGACUGGAAUUCUCGGUGUAGCAGUGAAAUGCGUAGAUAUCGAGAGGAACACCAGUGGCGAAGGCGAGUCCCUGGACAGAUCCUGACGCUGAGGCACGAAAGCUAGGGGAGCAAACAGG